GAUGAACGCUAGCGGGAGGCCUAACACAUGCAAGCCGAGCGGUAUUGUUUCUUCGGAAAUGCGAGAGCGGCGUACGGGUGCGUAACACGUGUGCAACCUGCCUUUAUCUGGGGGAUAGCCUUUCGAAAGGAAGAUUAAUACUCAAUAAUAUAUUGAACGGCAUCGUUUAAUAUUGAAAGCUCCGGCGGAUAGAGAUGGGCACGCGCAAGAUUAGCUAGUUGGUGAGGUAACGGCUCACCAAGGUGAUGAUCUUUAGGGGGCAUGAGAGGGUGAUCCCCCACACUGGUACUGAGACACGGACCAGACUCCUACGGGAGGCAGCAGUGAGGAAUAUUGGGCAAUGAGUGCAAGCCUGAACCAGCCAUCCCGCGUGAAGGACGACUGCCCUAUGAGUUGUAAACUUCUUUUGUAUAGGGAUAAACCUACCCUCGAGAGGGUAGCUGAAGGUACUAUACGAAUAAGCACCGGCUAACUCCGUG
This 479-nucleotide ribosomal RNA is filed under the name uncultured bacterium. Its description in RNAcentral is "partial 16S ribosomal RNA". It matches the Rfam family "Bacterial small subunit ribosomal RNA", at positions 28 to 507 of the family's 1533-position model. The record is from RNAcentral.